AAAUACCUAAUGUGAUUGAAAUAUAAUAAAAAUUAAUGAUCUUGAAUAAUAAUGAUUUGCUAAAAAAUUGUGUACCCUCUAUCAUUUUGUUUAAUUAUAUAUUAUUAAACAUACAUGAAUCUAUCUAUGUAUUUGAUUUUUAUAACAAUUAAAAUGUAUUCUCUGAAUUAGUAAUGGGUAAUAUCAAGCUGGAUAACCAUUUUCCGUACUUAUACUUGUCUUGUGGUCGGGCGGUAAGGGAAAAGGUUGGAAACGCGAACACGUUUCAAGUUCGAUUCACCUGCUACGAGAAACUAAGUCACAUUAUCCUGAACACCCACGUGAUGGGCCUUUGCAUUCUUGCUAUAAAUAAUCAGCCAUUACUUUGAGAAAGAAUUGCAACAAUGAUCAUGUUUGGCUUUCAAAACUGCUUCAUGUUCAUCAUCCUAUGCUUCCUCUCAUUCCUCUGUUAACUAUCUCUUUGUCAAGAAACCGAGCAGCUCAAGAAGUGGCUUUGAUGAUCUGCCUCCGAGCCCUCCUUCUCUCCCAAUCAUCGGCCAUCUUCACCUCCUCCUCUCUGCUCCAACCCACAAGGCUCUUCAGAAACUCUCAUCCAAGUACGGACCUCUCUUCCAUCUCCGCAUCUUCAACAUUCCCAUGGUCAUCGUCUCCUCCGCCUCCGUGGCUUACGAGAUCUUCAGGGCGCACGACGCCAACAUCUCCUCUCGUGGCCCCCCUCCCAUAGACGACUCUCUUUUCGCAGGAUCUACAAGCUUUAUCUCUUCUCCCUAUGGAGAUCACUGGAAGUUCAUGAAGAAGGUUCUCGUCACAAAGCUGCUCGGACCACAGGCACUAGAGCGGUCAAGAGACGUUCGUGCAGAUGAGCUGGAGAGGGUUUAUGCAAGGCUGCUUGAUAAAGCGAGGAAGGAAGAGAGUGUUGAGAUCAUUAAAGAAGUGGUAAAUCUCACUAAUAAUAGCAUAUGCAGGAUGAUCAUGGGGAAGAGUUGUUCCGAGGAGAACGGUGAGGCGGAGAGAGCCAGAAGCGUGGCUAGCGAAUCUCUUGCCUUGGGAAAGAAGAUAGUAUUGGGGUCCUUGUUGCGUGCAAGGUUUAAGCAUCUUGUAAUGUUACUGAUUAAAAAGGAAAUGACGGUUGUUUCCAACAAGUUUGAUGAGCUGUUCGAAAGGAUUCUUGUGGAACACGAAACUAAACAGGACGGACAUCAAGAAACAGACUUGAUGGAAGCGUUAUUGGCUGCUUAUGGAGACGAUAAGGCAGGGUACAAGAUCACUAGGAAACAUAUCAAGACGUUGUUCGCGGAUCUUUUGUUUGCAGGCACAGACUCUUCAGCGCAAGCAGCACAGUGGGCAAUGGCGGAGAUUAUUAAAAACCCUAACGUUCUCAAGAGACUGAGAGAAGAAAUAGAUUGCCUUGUAGGUCAAGGCACAAGAUUAAUUCAUGAAACUGACCUACCAAAUCUUCCUUACCUACAAGCCGUAGUGAAGGAAGUACUAAGACUGCACCCGCCAGGAACUGUCUUCGGAAGGAUCUCUCAAAAAGGGUUCAGGAUGGGAGAGUACUACAUACCGGAGGAGACAUCAUUUGCUAUUAAUGUUUAUGCUAUAAUGAGAGAUCCUGAUUUGUGGGAAGAUCCUGAUGAGUUUAAGCCAGAGAGGUUUCUUCAAGAUUCUUCAAGAACGGCUGAAGAGGAAGAGGCAGAGAGAAGAGAGCCACUCAAGUAUAUUCCUUUCGGCAGCGGAAGGAGAGGCUGUCCUGGAUCAAACCUAGCUUAUGUCUUUCUAGGAACAGCUGUUGGAAUGAUGGUGCAGGGAUUUGACUGGAGAAUCGAAGGAGGUGAUAAAGUUAGCAUGGAAGAAACUGUUUUAGGACUGAGCUUGACCAUGGCUCAUCCUCCUAAGUUCAUUCCUGUUGCUCGAACCGCACGCCCUUUAAUUUCGAAAUGCUCGUGAGUCUUUAAUUGAGUGGUCUGCAAGAUUGUUCAAGUGAUAAGGAAGCUUUGUUUUUGUUAUUAUGUUUGGGUGUGUGUGGUGUCCAAGUCGUCCAGGUGAGUUGGUUAUCUUUGGUUGAGUUUGGUUUAUGGUGUGAAACCGUAUUGUUUCCGGUUUUAGUCUUGCCAUGUUUCCCGGUUUUCUGUGGUUUAUUUUAGUUUGGUUUAUUGUAUUGUUCAAAGUUUGAAUACUACAGUAAUGAAUAACAGUGUUGUUUGUUCUU
Brassica rapa (field mustard) is the source of this 2209-nucleotide RNA transcript. It is a transcript of the gene named cytochrome P450 705A22-like, with no coding region annotated. The record is from RefSeq and is a predicted model, not a curated record. Lineage: Eukaryota; Viridiplantae; Streptophyta; Magnoliopsida; Brassicales; Brassicaceae.